GAUGAACGCUGGCGGCGUGCCUAAUACAUGCAAGUAGAACGCUGAAGGAAGGAGCUUGCUCUUUCCGGAUGAGUUGCGAACGGGUGAGUAACGCGUAGGUAACCUGCCUGGUAGCGGGGGAUAACUAUUGGAAACGAUAGCUAAUACCGCAUAACAGUAGAUGUUGCAUGAUAUCUACUUAAAAGGUGCAAUUGCACCACUACCAGAUGGACCUGCGUUGUAUUAGCUAGUUGGUGAGGUAACGGCUCACCAAGGCGACGAUACAUAGCCGACCUGAGAGGGUGAUCGGCCACACUGGGACUGAGACACGGCCCAGACGCCUACGGGAGGCAGCAGUAGGGAAUCUUCGGCAAUGGACGGAAGUCUGACCGAGCAACGCCGCGUGAGUGAAGAAGGUUUUCGGAUCGUAAAGCUCUGUUGUAAGAGAAGAACGAGUGUGAGAGUGGAAAGUUCACACUGUGACGGUAUCUUACCAGAAAGGGACGGCUAACUACGUG
RNAcentral lists this ribosomal RNA (497 nucleotides) under uncultured bacterium. RNAcentral's name for it is "partial 16S ribosomal RNA". It matches the Rfam family "Bacterial small subunit ribosomal RNA", at positions 28 to 507 of the family's 1533-position model. The record is from RNAcentral.